This 237-nucleotide unclassified non-coding RNA is filed under the name Hevea brasiliensis (rubber tree). Lineage: Eukaryota; Viridiplantae; Streptophyta; Magnoliopsida; Malpighiales; Euphorbiaceae. The record is from RNAcentral.
AACAAGUGAAAGAAUGGAAAAAUGUGUAUGCGUUACCAAAAGUAACUUGUUUAGUUGUCAUUAUCAUCCACACAGUAUAGGUGCAAUCCAUUUUGAGUGAAAGCACCCAUCUGAUUUAAAAACGCAAAAAAUUUGGGGAAGUAACUUUAGUAAAUAAAGUUGCACUCUAACAUCUUCUGCUGAAACAUAAAUAUGUAUACUCAGAAGCAGAUAAGUAAGAUCACCAGUAAGGCAAAA